GAUCAUGGCUCAGGAUGAACGCUAGCGGCAGGCUUAACACAUGCAAGUCGAGGGGCAGCAUGAAGGUUAGCAAUAACUUUUGAUGGCGACCGGCGCAAGGGUGCGUAACGCGUGAGCAACUUGCCCGUUUCAGGGGGAUAACCGGUGGAAACGCCGACUAAUACCCCAUAGUAUUGGUUUGAGGCAUCUCUUACCAAUUAAAGAAUUUCGGAAACGGAUAGGCUCGCGUGACAUUAGCUAGAUGGCGGGGUAACGGCCCACCAUGGCGACGAUGUCUAGGGGUUCUGAGAGGAAGGUCCCCCACACUGGAACUGAGACACGGUCCAGACUCCUACGGGAGGCAGCAGUGAGGAAUAUUGGUCAAUGGUCGAGAGACUGAACCAGCCAUGCCGCGUGAAGGUCACGGCCCUAUGGGUCUUAAACUUCUUUUGUAAGGGAGCAAUAAGUCUCACGUGUGGGAUGAUGAGAGUACCUUACGAAUAAGCAUCGGCUAACUCCGUG
This 501-nucleotide ribosomal RNA is filed under the name uncultured bacterium. RNAcentral describes it as "bacterial SSU rRNA". It matches the Rfam family "Bacterial small subunit ribosomal RNA", at positions 15 to 507 of the family's 1533-position model. The record is from RNAcentral.